CACGGAAAGAAAAACAAAGGGGGUAACAAAAAAAGACGUACCCUUCGGUUCGGAAUAACUCUGGGAAACUAGAGCUAAUACCGGAUACGCCCUUACGGGGAAAGGUUUACUGCCGAUGGAUCGGCCCGCGUCUGAUUAGCUAGUUGGUGGGGUAAAGGCCUACCAAGGCGACGAUCAGUAGCUGGUCUGAGAGGAUGAUCAGCCACAUUGGGACUGAGACACGGCCCAAACUCCUACGGGAGGCAGCAGUGGGGAAUAUUGGACAAUGGGCGCAAGCCUGAUCCAGCCAUGCCGCGUGAGUGAUGAAGGCCUUAGGGUUGUAAAGCUCUUUUGUCCGGGACGAUAAUGACGGUACCGGAAGAAUAAGCCCCGGCUAACUUCGUGCCAGCAGCCGCGGUAAUACGAAGGGGGCUAGCGUUGCUCGGAAUCACUGGGCGUAAAGGGCGCGUAGGCGGCUAUUUAAGUCGGGGGUGAAAGCCUGUGGCUCAACCACAGAAUUGCCUUCGAUACUGGAUAGCUUGAGUUCGGAAGAGGUUGGUGGAACUGCGAGUGUAGAGGUGAAAUUCGUAGAUAUUCGCAAGAACACCGGUGGCGAAGGCGGCCAACU
Molecule: ribosomal RNA, 607 nt
Filed under: bacterium
Lineage: Bacteria
Description: bacterial SSU rRNA
Rfam family: Bacterial small subunit ribosomal RNA
Source: RNAcentral